UGAGGAAUAUUCCACAAUGGGGGAAACCCUGAUGGAGCGAUGCCGCGUGCAGGAAGACGCUUUUCGGAGUGUAAACUGCUUUUAAUAGGGAAGAUUAUGACGGUACCUAUAGAAAAAGGACCGGCUAACUACGUGCCAGCAGCCGCGGUAAUACGUAGGGUCCAAGCGUUAUUCGGAAUUACUGGGCGUAAAGCGUACGUAGGCGGUUUGGUAAGUUGGAUGUGAAAUCCCCCUGCUCAACGGGGUGGACUGUGUCCAAAACUACCUAACUAGAGCAUAGUAGAGGCAAGUGGAAUUUGCGGUGUAGGAGUGACAUCCGUAGAUAUCGCAAGGAACACCAAUGGCGAAGGCAGCUUGCUGGGCUAUUGCUGACGCUCAGGUACGAAAGCGUGGGGAGCGA
This 400-nucleotide ribosomal RNA is filed under the name uncultured bacterium. Its description in RNAcentral is "bacterial SSU rRNA". It matches the Rfam family "Bacterial small subunit ribosomal RNA", at positions 355 to 771 of the family's 1533-position model. The record is from RNAcentral.